GCCAGGCGUGGUGGCUCAUGCCUGUAAUUCCAGCUAUUUAGGAGGCUGAGUCAGGAGGACUGAAAGUUUGAAGCCAGACUGGGUGACUUAUCAAGACCCUGUAUCAA
RNAcentral lists this small RNA (107 nucleotides) under Marmota monax (woodchuck). Lineage: Eukaryota; Metazoa; Chordata; Mammalia; Rodentia; Sciuridae. The record is from RNAcentral.